GAUGAACGCUGGCGGCGUGCCUAAUACAUGCAAGUCGAGCGAACGGACGAGAAGCUUGCUUCUCUGAUGUUAGCGGCGGACGGGUGAGUAACACGUGGAUAACCUACCUAUAAGACUGGGAUAACUUCGGGAAACCGGAGCUAAUACCGGAUGAUAUUUUGAACCGCAUGGUUCAAAAGUGAAAGACGGUCUUGCUGUCACUUAUAGAUGGAUCCGCGCUGCAUUAGCUAGUUGGUAAGGUAACGGCUUACCAAGGCAACGAUGCAUAGCCGACCAGAGAGGGUGAUCGGCCACACUGGAACUGAGACACGGUCCAGACUCCUACGGGAGGCAGCAGUAGGGAAUCUUCCGCAAUGGGCGAAAGCCUGACGGAGCAACGCCGCGUGAGCGAUGAAGGUCUUCGGAUCGUAAAACUCUGUUAUUAGGGAAGAACAUAUGUGUAAGUAACUGUGCACAUCUUGACGGUACCUAAUCAGAAAGCCACGGCUAACUACGUG
Molecule: ribosomal RNA, 497 nt
Filed under: uncultured bacterium
Lineage: Bacteria
Description: partial 16S ribosomal RNA
Rfam family: Bacterial small subunit ribosomal RNA
Source: RNAcentral